CUUUAUUGGAGAGUUUGAUCCUGGCUCAGGAUGAACGCUGGCGGCGUGCCUAAUACAUGCAAGUCGAGCGAAUGGAUUAAGAACUUGCUCUUAUGAAGUUAGCGGCGGACGGGUGAGUAACACGUGGGUAACCUGCCCAUAAGACUGGGAUAACUCCGGGAAAUC
Molecule: ribosomal RNA, 165 nt
Filed under: Bacillus sp. CDB3
Lineage: Bacteria; Bacillati; Bacillota; Bacilli; Caryophanales; Bacillaceae
Description: partial 16S ribosomal RNA
Rfam family: Bacterial small subunit ribosomal RNA
Source: RNAcentral